Molecule: non-coding RNA, 103 nt
Organism: Ictidomys tridecemlineatus (thirteen-lined ground squirrel)
Lineage: Eukaryota; Metazoa; Chordata; Mammalia; Rodentia; Sciuridae
Source: Rfam
GUAUAACUUGUUCCAGCUGCUCACAUACUAAAAUUGUAACAAUACAGAGAAGACAAGCAUGACUCCUGUGCAUGGAUGACAUGCCAUUUUUUUUUUUUUUUUU